Molecule: ribosomal RNA, 459 nt
Filed under: uncultured bacterium
Lineage: Bacteria
Description: partial 16S ribosomal RNA
Rfam family: Bacterial small subunit ribosomal RNA
Source: RNAcentral
CCUACGGGAGGCAGCAGUGAGGAAUAUUGGUCAAUGGCCGGAAGGCUGAACCAGCCAAGUCGCGUGAGGGACGACUGCCCUAUGGGUUGUAAACCUCUUUUAUAAGGGAAGAAUAAAUGCUACGUGUAGCCUGAUGCCUGUACCUUAUGAAUAAGCAUCGGCUAACUCCGUGCCAGCAGCCGCGGUAAUACGGAGGAUGCGAGCGUUAUCCGGAUUUAUUGGGUUUAAAGGGUGCGUAGGCGGUUUUUUAAGUUAGUGGUUAAACGUCGGGGCUUCACCUUGAUUUGCCAUUAAUACUGUAAGACUAGAGUACAGACGAGGUAGGCGGAAUAAGUUAAGUAGCGGUGAAAUGCUUAGAUAUAACUUAGAACUCCGAUAGCGAAGGCAGCUUACCAGACUGCGACUGACGCUGAAGCACGAGAGCGUGGGUAGCGAACAGGAUUAGAUACCCGGGUAGUC